RNAcentral lists this unclassified non-coding RNA (305 nucleotides) under plant metagenome. Its description in RNAcentral is "partial contains 5.8S ribosomal RNA, internal transcribed spacer 2, and large subunit ribosomal RNA". The stretch from base 1 to 105 matches the Rfam family "5.8S ribosomal RNA", at positions 50 to 154 of the family's 154-position model. The record is from RNAcentral.
GAAAUGCGAUAAGUAGUGUGAAUUGCAGAAUUCAGUGAAUCAUCGAAGCUUUGAACGCACAUUGCGCCCUUUGGUAUUCCUUAGGGCAUGCCUGUUCGAGCGUCAUCUAAACCUUCAAGCCCUGCUUGGUGUUGGGUGCCUGUCCCGCCUCCGCGCGCGGACUCACCUCAAAUCCAUUGGCGGCCCCCGCGUCGGCCACGAGCGCAGCAGAAACGCGAACUCGUGAGCCCGUCCGGGCGGCUCCCAGAAGCUACACCCACCCAGUUUGACCUCGGAUCAGGUAGGGAUACCCGCUGAACUUAAGC